AAAGGGUAGCCUACCAUGCAAGUCGAGCGAGCUCUUCGGAGCUAGCGGCGGACGGGUUAGUAACGCGUGGGAACGUGCCCUUCACUGCGGAAUAGCCACUGGAAACGGUGAGUAAUACCGCAUACGCCCUUCGGGGGAAAGAUUUAUCGGUGAAGGAUCGGCCCGCGUUAGAUUAGAUAGUUGGUGGGGUAACGGCCUACCAAGUCUACGAUCUAUAGCUGGUUUUAGAGGAUGAUCAGCAACACUGGGACUGAGACACGGCCCAGACUCCUACGGGAGGCAGCAGUGGGGAAUCUUGGACAAUGGGCGCAAGCCUGAUCCAGCCAUGCCGCGUGAGUGAUGAAGGCCUUAGGGUCGUAAAGCUCUUUCGCCAGAGAUGAUAAUGACAGUAUCUGGUAAAGAAACCCCGGCUAACUCCGUGCCAGCAGCCGCGGUAAUACGGAGGGGGUUAGCGUUGUUCGGAAUUACUGGGCGUAAAGCGCACGUAGGCGGAUCAGAAAGUUGGGGGUGAAAUCCCGGGGCUCAACCCCGGAACUGCCUCCAAAACUCCUGGUCUUGAGUUCGAGAGAGGUGAGUGGAAUUCCGAGUGUAGAGGUGAAAUUCGUAGAUA
Molecule: ribosomal RNA, 610 nt
Filed under: Marinovum sp.
Lineage: Bacteria; Pseudomonadati; Pseudomonadota; Alphaproteobacteria; Rhodobacterales; Roseobacteraceae
Description: bacterial SSU rRNA
Rfam family: Bacterial small subunit ribosomal RNA
Source: RNAcentral